This 253-nucleotide ribosomal RNA is filed under the name uncultured bacterium. RNAcentral's name for it is "partial 16S ribosomal RNA". It matches the Rfam family "Bacterial small subunit ribosomal RNA", at positions 524 to 776 of the family's 1533-position model. The record is from RNAcentral.
UACGAAGGUGGCAAGCGUUGUUCGGAUUCACUGGGCGUACAGGGUGUGUAGGCGGCUUGGUAAGCCUUCUGUUAAAGCUUCGGGCCCAACCCGGGAAGCGCAGAGGGUACUGCCAGGCUAGAGGGCGGGAGAGGAGCGCGGAAUUCCCGGUGUAGCGGUGAAAUGCGUAGAGAUCGGGAGGAAGGCCGGUGGCGAAGGCGGCGCUCUGGACCGUACCUGACGCUGAGACACGAAAGCGUGGGGAGCAAACAGG